This 437-nucleotide ribosomal RNA is filed under the name uncultured bacterium. RNAcentral's name for it is "bacterial SSU rRNA". It matches the Rfam family "Bacterial small subunit ribosomal RNA", at positions 338 to 790 of the family's 1533-position model. The record is from RNAcentral.
CCUACGGGAGGCAGCAGUGGGGAAUCUUGCACAAUGGGCGAAAGCCUGAUGCAGCAACGCCGCGUGAGCGAAGAAGGCCUUUGGGUCGUAAAGCUCUGUCCUAAGGGAAGAAGGAAGUGACGGUACCUUAGGAGGAAGCCCCGGCUAACUACGUGCCAGCAGCCGCGGUAAUACGUAGGGGGCAAGCGUUAUCCGGAAUUAUUGGGCGUAAAGAGUACGUAGGCGGUUCUUUAAGCGCAGGGUAUAAGGCGAAGGCUUAACCAUCGUUGGCCCUGUGAACUGGGGGACUUGAGUAUCGGAGAGGAAAGCGGAAUUCCUAGUGUAGCGGUGAAAUGCGUAGAUAUUAGGAGGAACACCAGUGGCGAAGGCGGCUUUCUGGACGAAAACUGACGCUGAGGUACGAAAGCGUGGGGAGCAAACAGGAUUAGAUACCCUAG